RNAcentral lists this ribosomal RNA (468 nucleotides) under uncultured bacterium. RNAcentral describes it as "partial 16S ribosomal RNA". It matches the Rfam family "Bacterial small subunit ribosomal RNA", at positions 28 to 507 of the family's 1533-position model. The record is from RNAcentral.
GACGAACGCUGGCGGCGUGCUUAACACAUGCAAGUCGAACGGAAAGGCCCUGCUUUUGUGGGGUGCUCGAGUGGCGAACGGGUGAGUAACACGUGAGUAACCUGCCCUUGACUUUGGGAUAACUUCAGGAAACUGGGGCUAAUACCGGAUAGGAGCUCCUGCUGCAUGGUGGGGGUUGGAAAGUUUCGGCGGUUGGGGAUGGUCUCGCGGCUUAUCAGCUUGUUGGUGGGGUAGUGGCUUACCAAGGCUUUGACGGGUAGCCGGCCUGGGAGGGUGACCGGCCACAUUGGGACUGAGAUACGGCCCAGACUCCUACGGGAGGCAGCAGGGGGGAAUAUUGCACAAUGGGCGGAAGCCUGAUGCAGCAACGCCGCGUGCGGGAUGACGGCCUUCGGGUUGUAAACCGCUUUCGCCUGUGACGAAGCGUGAGUGACGGUAAUGGGUAAAGAAGCACCGGCUAACUACGUG